RNAcentral lists this ribosomal RNA (254 nucleotides) under uncultured bacterium. RNAcentral describes it as "partial 16S ribosomal RNA". It matches the Rfam family "Bacterial small subunit ribosomal RNA", at positions 79 to 334 of the family's 1533-position model. The record is from RNAcentral.
CUUUCUUUGCUGGCGACCGGCGCACGGGUGAGUAACACGUAUCCAACCUGCCCUUUACUCGGGGAUAGCCUUUCGAAAGAAGGAUUAAUACCCGAUAGCAUAAUGAUUCCGCAUGGUUUCAUUAUUAAAGGAUUCCGGUAAAGGAUGGGGAUGCGUUCCAUUAGGUUGUUGGUGAGGUAACGGCCCACCAAGCCUUCGAUGGACAGGGGUUCUGAGAGGAAGGUCCCCCACAUUGGAACUGAGACACGGUCCAA